GGGGGCUAGUCCAAAACAAGACCUCUGAUUUCGGCUCAGAAAAUCGCGGUUUAACCCUCGACCCCCUC
This 68-nucleotide transfer RNA is filed under the name Bathylaco nigricans (black warrior). RNAcentral describes it as "tRNA-Arg". The record is from RNAcentral. Lineage: Eukaryota; Metazoa; Chordata; Actinopteri; Alepocephaliformes; Alepocephalidae.